This 333-nucleotide ribosomal RNA is filed under the name uncultured fungus. RNAcentral describes it as "eukaryotic LSU rRNA". The stretch from base 1 to 71 matches the Rfam family "5.8S ribosomal RNA", at positions 84 to 154 of the family's 154-position model. Lineage: Eukaryota; Fungi. The record is from RNAcentral.
GUGAGUCAUCGAGUCUUUGAACGCACCUUGCGCUCCUUGGUAUUCCGAGGAGCAUGCCUGUUUGAGUGUCAUUAAAUUCUCAACUCCGAUCGAUUUGUUUCGACUUCGGAGCUUGGAUUUGGAGCGUGCUGGCCGCAUAUUGGUCGGCUCCUCUCAAAUGCAUCAGCGGAAUUCAACCUUUGGCUUCCGGAUGUCAAUGUGAUAAUCAUGUUGCACUGUCGUUUGAUCCCUCAGAGUCCGCUUAUAAUGGUCUUCGGACAAAAUCAUCAUCAAAUUUGACCUCAAAUCAGGUAGGUACUACCCGCUGAACUUAAGCAUAUCAAUAAGCGGAGG